GAUGAAGAACGUAGCGAAAUGCGAUACGUAAUGUGAAUUGCAAAUUCAGUGAAUCAUCGAGUCUUUGAACGCACAUUGCGCCCCCUGGUAUUCCGGGGGGCAUGUCUGUCCGAGCGUCAUUGCUGCCCUCAAGCACGGCUUGUGUGUUGGGCCCCGUCCUCCGAUCCCGGGGGACGGGCCCGAAAGGCAGCGGCGGCACCGCGUCCGGUCCUCGAGCGUAUGGGGCUUUGUCACCCGCUCUGUAGGCCCGGCCGGCGCUUGCCGAUCAACCCAAAUUUUUUAUCCAGGUUGACCUCGGAUCAGGUAGGGAUACCCGCUGAACUUAAGCAUAUCAAUAAGCGGAGGA
Molecule: unclassified non-coding RNA, 346 nt
Filed under: soil metagenome
Description: partial contains 5.8S ribosomal RNA, internal transcribed spacer 2, and large subunit ribosomal RNA
Rfam family: 5.8S ribosomal RNA (bases 1-119)
Source: RNAcentral